This 764-nucleotide ribosomal RNA is filed under the name uncultured bacterium. RNAcentral's name for it is "bacterial SSU rRNA". It matches the Rfam family "Bacterial small subunit ribosomal RNA", at positions 8 to 763 of the family's 1533-position model. The record is from RNAcentral.
AGAGUUUGAUCAUGGCUCAGAUUGAACGCUGGCGGCAGGCCUAACACAUGCAAGUCGAGCGGAAACGAUCCUAGCUUGCUAGGAGGCGUCGAGCGGCGGACGGGUGAGUAACGCGUGAGAAUCUACCCAUGAGUGGGGGACAACCCGGGGAAACUCGGGCUAAUACCGCAUACGCCCUACGGAGUAAAGCAGGGGACCUUCGGGCCUUGCGCUGAUGGAUGAGCUCGCGUCGGAUUAGCUUGUUGGUGAGGUAAAGGCUCACCAAGGCGACGAUCCGUAGCUGGUCUGAGAGGAUGAUCAGCCACACCGGGACUGAGACACGGCCCAGACUCCUACGGGAGGCAGCAGUGGGGAAUCUUGGACAAUGGGGGCAACCCUGAUCCAGCCAUGCCGCGUGUGUGAAGAAGGCCUUCGGGUUGUAAAGCACUUUCAGCAGGGAGGAAGGCUUACCCCUAAUACGGGUGAGUACUUGACGUUACCUGCAGAAGAAGCACCGGCUAAUUUCGUGCCAGCAGCCGCGGUAAUACGAAAGGUGCAAGCGUUAAUCGGAAUUACUGGGCGUAAAGCGCGCGUAGGCGGUGUGUUAAGUCGGAUGUGAAAGCCCAGGGCUCAACCUUGGAAUUGCAUCCGAUACUGGCACGCUAGAGUGCAGUAGAGGGAGGUGGAAUUUCCGGUGUAGCGGUGAAAUGCGUAGAGAUCGGAAGGAACACCAGUGGCGAAGGCGGCCUCCUGGACUGACACUGACGCUGAGGUGCGAAAGCGUG